AGUCGAACGGCAGCGGGAAAGUAGCUUGCUACUUUUGCCGGCGAGUGGCGAACGGGUGAGUAAUGUAUCGGAACGUGCCCAGUAGCGGGGGAUAACUACGCGAAAGCGUGGCUAAUACCGCAUACGCCCUACGGGGGAAAGGGGGGGAUCUUAGGACCUCUCACUAUUGGAGCGGCCGAUAUCGGAUUAGCUAGUUGGUGGGGUAAAGGCCUACCAAGGCGACGAUCCGUAGCUGGUUUGAGAGGACGACCAGCCACACUGGGACUGAGACACGGCCCAGACUCCUACGGGAGGCAGCAGUGGGGAAUUUUGGACAAUGGGGGAAACCCUGAUCCAGCCAUCCCGCGUGUGCGAUGAAGGCCUUCGGGUUGUAAAGCACUUUUGUCAGGGAAGAAAAGGUUUCGGAUAAUACCCGGAACUGAUGACGGUACCUGAAGAAUAAGCACCGGCUAACUACGUGCCAGCAGCCGCGGUAAUACGUAGGGUGCAAGCGUUAAUCGGAAUUACUGGGCGUAAAGCGUGCGCAGGCGGUUCGGAAAGAAAGAUGUGAAAUCCCAGGGCUCAACCUUGGAACUGCAUUUUUAACUACCGAACUAGAGUAUGUCAGAGGGGGGUGGAAUUCCACGUGUAGCAGUGAAAUGCGUAGAUAUGUGGAGGAACACCGAUGGCGAAGGCAGCCCCCUGGGAUAAUACUGACGCUCAUGCACGAAAGCGUGGGGGAGCAAACAGGAUUAGAUACCCUGGUAGUCCACGCCCUAAA
Molecule: ribosomal RNA, 760 nt
Filed under: Advenella sp. DK-7
Lineage: Bacteria; Pseudomonadati; Pseudomonadota; Betaproteobacteria; Burkholderiales; Alcaligenaceae
Description: bacterial SSU rRNA
Rfam family: Bacterial small subunit ribosomal RNA
Source: RNAcentral